This 429-nucleotide ribosomal RNA is filed under the name Chloroflexota bacterium. Its description in RNAcentral is "Chloroflexi bacterium partial 16S ribosomal RNA". It matches the Rfam family "Bacterial small subunit ribosomal RNA", at positions 355 to 776 of the family's 1533-position model. Lineage: Bacteria; Bacillati; Chloroflexota. The record is from RNAcentral.
UGGGGAAUAUUGCACAAUGGGCGCAAGCCUGAUGCAGCCAUGCCGCGUGUAUGAAGAAGGCCUUCGGGUUGUAAAGUACUUUCAGCGGGGAGGAAGGGAGUAAAGUUAAUACCUUUGCUCAUUGACGUUACCCGCAGAAGAAGCACCGGCUAACUCCGUGCCAGCAGCCGCGGUAAUACGGAGGGUGCAAGCGUUAAUCGGAAUUACUGGGCGUAAAGCGCACGCAGGCGGUUGAUUGAGUCAGAUGUGAAAUCCCCGGGCUUAACCCGGGAAUUGCAUCUGAUACUGGUCAGCUAGAGUCUUGUAGAGGGGGGUAGAAUUCCAUGUGUAGCGGUGAAAUGCGUCGAGAUGUGGAGGAAUACCGGUGGCGAAGGCGGCCCCCUGGACAAAGACUGACGCUCAGGUGCGAAAGCGUGGGGAGCAAACAGG